CAUGAUUAGAAAGAUAAAGAUUUAACGUUAAUUGAGGAUCCAUACAAUCCGACAAAAACGAAGACAAGAACACUUAAAACUGAAACAAAAUCAAAACAAAAGUACUUAGCGAAAUGAAAUAACUGGAAAGCGAAGUCUUCAAGAGAGGAGUCACUCUCUGUCUACUUAGAUCGCUGUCUCAUCUUUCGUCUCUUCCUCUUCAACCUCCUCAUACGCUUCUUCUUCCACUGUAAAACAAGAACAAAAAAGAACUUAGCCAAAUGAUACAAAAGAGAGGUAACAGAUUACUAGCAAGAUUUGAAUGAUGAGUAUACCUUGGCUCUCAUUGCGGAGGAACUCUUUUUCUCAAAACCUUACUCGGCUAUAUUCCCCGGUGACGGUAGCAAGAAGAGAGAAGGAAGCGUAACUCGGAAUAUAUACCCCUGAAAACCCUAGGGUUGAGGCAGACCUGGGCAUUUAUGUUAAGCCCAUGUAAUGUUUCUUAUUGGGUUUCUCUUGUUAUGUUUUUUAUACUAUAGUUUGGGCCUUUGCACUAACAUUUUGCCAGCUCUAAAGAAAUUAGCAAGAAAAGGAUACCGAAGUUUUUGACAUUAAUUUAUUAUUCUAUUAUGAACAGUAUAAAUUAAUAUCUAAAUAGUUCUACUAAUUCUAUAAAGGAUCACUCUAUUUUUAUAUUAAUAAUUAGUUGUAUUAAGAUAACAUGCAUCCAGUUAUCACAUCAUAUGAAACCUAUAAAAACCGACGUAAGAGAUUACAAAAUAUCAAUAUGCAUAUAGAUUGGAUAAUAUAUAUUAUUUCUAGAGAAAUUGCAUCCUAUAGCAUAAAAAAAAAUUAUAAUUCAUUAUGUAACCAAUUAACCUAGUUUACAUAGAUAUAUUAUGUAUUUUAUAUAAUAAUACACUACUACCCUUGUAAGUCACCGAUGAAACCUGCUACCAAACUAAUUUUAAAAUAAAUAAUACGUGAAUGUAAAAGGUAAUAUGUGGCUCUCUAUUAUUCACACACUAUUCUAAAGCUAUUUUUAUUUGAUAAUUUUUGGGAAAGUGAAUAUGUUUCAUCUCAGAUUUGCAAGAUCCCUCAACGCAACCGUCUACAUACCCGGUGAAGUACAAUGGAGGAGAAAACCACUUUCGAAGGCUACGACAUUAAGGAAGGGGGAAGCUUCUCAGAUUUUGAAAUAAACAGUCCCAAGGAAGACGGAACAAGAGAGGCGGCGAGGUGGAUUAACGCUUGCAGAUUCAAGUUCCCAAAACCAUAUUGCAGAAGAGAAUUUCAAUCAUGUAAGUUGCGGUUGUUCUGUUAUUGUUUCUUAAUCUGAAGUAAUUCUUUUUUGGAGUCGGUAUGUGGAAACGUUGUGACCCGAAAGUUUGAAGCUUUGUGUUUAGACUCCACUCCAUUGUACAUUCUAUUCCUUUUUCAAAGUAUUUGUUACAUGAAUACAAAUAGAAUAUUUUUGAAAAAUUUGAAUCUGAAGUAUUUUUUUGUUUCCUUCAUUUUAUGAUAUUUUCAAGUCAUAUGUGGUACCGGAGUAACAUGGAAUAAAUGUGAACAAUCUGCUUGUUCGUAUUGUUGUUGCUUUGCGUAUGAUCCAGUGAGCUGAAUAGAAUACCAACCAACAAAAUUAAAAAGAAUAGUUUGUUGGUUUCCAUUCUCAUUUUUGUUCGUAUUGUUGUUGUUUGUCUAUACAUACCGUUACACUUUUAUGGUUUCCAUUCUACAUUUUUGUUAUACUAUACAUCUUAUUUCACAUUUACUUUGUUAUAUGGGUCCUAACAAUUGCUUUGUGUUGCUCAGGUUACAAAUGGAUGAUUUAGACUGUCAAGUAGAUUGUUCGAAACUGGAUUUGAACCAAUUCGUGAAUAUAUUCUCAUUUAUAUGUAAUGGUGCAAUGUGUAUAUAAAUGGAAUAGACCGUGUGCACGUAAAAUGGAAAGAUCAUACAUGUAAAAUGGAAUGUAUAAUAUUUGCUAUUUGUUUUAUUCUAUUCUAUUUGCAGAACAUACAAUAGAAAUAUGAUUUUACAGUGCAUUCGCAUAAGUUAUAUUUUGUUGUUGUAUCAUUGAUAUGAAUCCUAGUUUAUGCGUAUUGAUCAAGAAUUAAGUAUUUAAAACUCAAUUUUAUCACUUCCUUAACCACAUCAACAUAAGUCUAAACUUCACACAAAUUUCGUUAACCACAUCCAAAUUUCACUAUUUCACCAAUAUGUAGUAUACUAUUUAUUUUGUUCUAUUCUAUUUGGGUCGAAGAUUUAUAUUUAGAUUUAGAGUUUAUAUUUGAGUUUAGGGUUUAAUAAUAAAGUUUUAGAGUUUAGUAUGGUUGGAGGUGGAGAUAGGACAUGAUUAGGAUUUAGGGUUUAGUAUUUUAGGAUUGGAGUAAGAUUUUGAUAUUUAAGAGUUAUGGGUAAGAUUUGUAUCCUAUACUAUUUCUCCGAUAUGGAAUACACCUUUUACUGAAAAUCUAUUUCUUUCCACUCCUUUUACAGCAUUUAUUUAUUUUUGUAUUUAGUAUUUUCGUUAUCUGGUUGUUAUGAAAAUAGACUUACAUUGUAUUGUAAAUGGAAUAUACCACUCUUAGAAAGUAUUCUAUUUUUAUCCAUUUGUUUUACAUGUCACUUAAAUGUGCGGUAACUAUGCAUGUGACGUAAGUCAUGUGCUUUCAUUGUUAAUAGUGAUCAUUAACUCAUGUUUCUCUCCUCUCAUCGACGUCACUAUUUUCUUCUUCACCGGGUACCUGUAAGUGAUGAGGGUAUAACCGACUAAACUUUAGCAUAAAUGUUAGUUUAUUAAAUAGAUCAAAAUCAAUGUCAUAUGCUUAAUUUGCAUUUUUGUUUUGUAUAUUGAACAAAUUCUCCCUUAUUUCUACUCGUAUGGUGGAACUUAAAUUAAAUAAAAAAAUUCAUUUAUUGGUAGAAAGACGUGGUUAGUUAGUAGUUCCAUGCUGGCUAUAAAAUAAAAUGAAAUUUAAAAGUCAACCAUUAAGAUAUUCAUAAUUUGUACAGGGUUCGUUCCCUUUGGUCGAGCUGACUUUUUAAGGUACAAAUCUCAAAUAAUUGAGAUACCCACAACCAUAAAUAUAAAUGAGUCGAUUCAUGUCUCAAGUGAUAACGUAGUUAUCGUUGACAAAAUAAAAAUAAUUUGUAUGAUUGUAUUUAUCAUUAUGUUAUGGUAUCUGAGUGCCAAAGUUCGCUCUAGAAUGAUUAGUUACUAAAUGUAAAUGACUCUAUUAUUAGCGUGGAAGCACAUAUAAACUGCGACAUGUCAGUAUGACUUGGAGAGUGUCUCUAAUAAAAUAAUUGAUGCACGACUACUUAACCACAAUUAAACAUAUCCAACUAAUCAUAUUUAGUUAAACUAUUUUAAUAUUUAAUGGGCUGUUCCAAUGGUGACUCUCUGCUCAUGGCCAUAGGUCAUUGCGAUUUAAUAUUUUUGAGAAUCUUGAAUAGUGAGAAAUUGUUAAAACUCUAUAUAUAUUAUACUAAAAACAAGACAUGUGAUGAAUUUGGAUAUGAUUAAUAUUUCAAGAAGGGAUUCAUUUGCUGAAAUAUGUGUGAUGUAUCAAAUAUGGUUAGUUUAAUGAAUUCUAUAUCAAAAUAACACGUUUGCAGAUUAUACAAAUGUUUUUUUACAAGACUAAUUUUCUAAUAUUUUAAUGAUUCAUCCAAAACAGGCAGAAACUCUUAUGACUAAGAUGAAGGAUACAAUUAUUCAAAAACAACUUACAUUAUACUAAAAAUUUGAUGAUACAUUCAAAUGAGAUUAGAGCGGGAGAAGAAAUGUUUUUGACAUAAAAUCAGUGUUCUUAAAACCACGCGCCCCCAAAAAUUUUCUCUCAACCCUAACUUCGCGUCUCCCUCGCGCCUCCUUUUUCUUUACUCCGAUCGCCUCUCCAGUGCCGCUCGGCGCUGAGAGAGGGCUCUUGCCGACCCCGUCACAUCCAAAUCCAUCUCCGGCGUGAAGAUCUGUGGGUGACGUGACUUUGUUUCGGUUCGUCGUCUUCUCAGAUGGCUUGCUUUGACUUGUCGAAGCUGAGCGGGAUUUGCGACGCGGUGCCUCUAGCGACUGUGCCGCCGCUUCAUCCUCCUCAACACCAAAGCAAACGUUUCCUCUCCCUACGUCUCGCUCUUCUCGCGGGUGAAAGUAAAUGUCGCUUUGGCCUCUGCCUACAAAGGCAAAUCGGGUACGCGUUGCCUAAGUUAGAGGUCUCGGGACCUCGGACUGGUUGCGAUAGGGUCAUAUCUGUCGCUCCAUCGAGUCAAGUUUAGGUGGUUAGCUACUGAGUGAUGCAUUAAUUUUGCUCCUCUCCCCUCCUUUGUUGUUGGUGUUGGCGUUGCUUGUUAGUCUGGAUUGGAAUUGCAGGUUUAAACGUGAUGGGUUGUGGAGGUUCUUUGGUUUCUUGGAGCUCGGAGGAAUACUUUGUGGUUGGAGGAGGUAGUAAGACUCGGGAGGUGGUGAUGCUGCCCCUUUCUCUGUACCGACUUAGAGGACGAGUGCGGUCGAGUUGGUUGAGCGCUAUUAAGCACCCGUGGUGUGUGUUGUCCUGUCUGUUGCUGGAUUCCGGGUUUAGUUCUUUCCCAGCCCGGACCUAGAGGACCGUCUUUGAGCGGGUCUGUUUCUGAUCCUUGGAGAAAAGAAAUUUGUACAGGCAGCCAUUGAAUCCACUUCCCACUAGUAUCGUAUUCUUCGUGUUCUAGUUUCUUGGAUCUCUCUUUUCAUGCUUGUCUCGGCUAAAUCUUCGGUCCGGUUACUACAAGUUUGUAUCGAUAUUUGAUAUCCUGUUCGCUCCAAAGCAGAACGGUUUCAAAUUCGAUUGAUUCUGCUUCCAUGUUUUUUACUUUUUUUGCCAUGGAAGUAUGUGUUUAGAAGUCUUAUAGUUUGUUUAUCACAUUUUGUAAGCUUCAACAAUUCAUUUCUGAAAUGAUAUUUACCAUUUAGCAAAAAAAAAAAAAAUGUUUUUGACAUAAUAAUAGCCAAUCAUGCUUAUUGUUCUGCCGACACAAACUAUUGCAUCAAUCGCGCUUCAUGGGACCAAAGCAACAACACCAAGACUAUCACGGAUCCCAAAUAGAACUUUAAUCCUUUUUGAUGUACGAUUACAAAAAUAUGGGAUCAUGCAACAAUUUUAACAGCGUAGUUAAGUUUGAAUUUGUUUGUUCAAAUGAUGUUAUGGGCCUGAGUAUGGCUAUCAAUUUAUCAUGGACUACAAAUCUAUAAUCGAUUAUUUAUAUUUCGAUGAAUAAACAAAAAUGGAAGUUUUGCGUAGUAUAACAAAAACCACGAAGGAUUUAUAAAGUCAAAACUAUUAUACGUCAAUGGAGGGAGAGUUCCUCAUUUAUUUUCAAAAAAUAAAAGAGUGAAAAUUGGAAUUUAUCUAUGCUCUAAUUACUAAGCGUUAGGACUAGUCACAAGAUUCUCGUAGGAGUCAACGGCGCUUGACGGGACGGCGACCAUUACUUUAACCGCGUCACUUCGUUCAGGAACCGGAAGCAACAAACAGUACCGGUCGCAGCAAACCGAUCCCACGUGAACCGGUUUACCAAAACCGAAAUCAAGCUUCUCUAAACCGAGGCGUGACCACUGCGAAAUUAUCAAGACUCCGACCGAGUCAGGACACUUGGCCUUGCUCACGGCUUCCACCACCGACCUGACGUAAUCAUCUCCGACUCUCUCCUUCGCUUGUUUCACCAGCUUCGCCGCGUGGCGUAAUCCUUUCUCCGUCAAGUCUUUCACGGUGGUUUGCGCGCACCCGACGACGAAGGCGUUCCCGUAGAACCCGGCGGGUAAACUCGGUUUGACUCGGUCUCGGAUGUUGACGCUGAACAAAAGCUUGACGGUUUGGCUCGAUGGUAAGUUCAGUGAUCUCGCCCAGCUCCGCCACACGUGCGCAGAGAGCACCUCGAACGAUGUGUGUUUGGUACUGGACUCACCGAGUCGACUCGCGAGUUUCUUCAGCUCUGUAAGUCUCUGUUUCUCGAAGACGACGGAGGUCGGAACGAGUCGCUCGGCGUUGAACCGGUUGACGAACCCGCAGAGGUCGGGAACUCGGUUGAACUCAGGGUGGCUCAACGAGUCACGAACCGGAGACGGGUUAAGCAAGCGGCGAUCCCAGAGGUGUCUCCGUUUCAACUCGGUCUGACUCAGCGAGUCUCUCGAUAACUCGGCGAACAAGGUGAGAAACUCGGCGCUUCCGAUGCCAUCGGAGAGGCAGUGGUUAACACCGACGGCUAAAGCGGCGCCACCGUCUCUGAGCCAAGUGAGCUGGACGACGAGAGGCGGUGCACCGGCGAGGACGUCGACGACGUUGAGGGAGAGAAGCUUUCUCCAGCUAGUCACGUGCCGGGGAGGUUUCUGAAAGUCAAGGCACGUGAGGUGAUCAGUUACGGCUUCGAGAAACAGAGCACCUUGGCUACGGCAGUUAACCUCGAGACUUCCGCCGUUGGGUCUCUCACGGACACGGCCGGAGAAAGGGAAGUAAGGAACAAGAGCGCGAGAGAGUGCUGAUUUGAGACGACCCGAGAGAGAAACCGGGUCGGAAACGGGUGAGUAAACGAGGAGGUAUUCGAUUGUGAAUCGGAGGAAGAGUUGAGAAUCUAAGGCGGAGAGGGACAGAACACAAGAAGGUGUUUGGUCGGAAGGAGUAAUAACUGUGGCUUCUUUGACAUGAACCAGUGAUCCCAUUAUACUUUCUUUCUUGCUUCUUUUUUGCUCUGAAAUAAAGAAGGUGGGUCUCUGCGAUGUGUAUUAUAUAUAUACCGCUGCUAUGUUAUGUAUGCGCAUGUAUAUUCACGUAGAAGAGAGACAACUAGGGUAGUUUUGUAAUUUGGCUGAUCUUUUCAGACAUGGUAUGUCUUGUGUGUUGUAUCAUGCAUGUGUACUCUUGUGUGUACGUGUUCCCUUAAUUGUUCUGACUGGUUUCAAAAUCUAGAGGCAACGCUUUUGAUCCGUUGGUGUGAAAGUUUUACAAGUUAUCACUGGACGUAGAUUUUCAAUUUAGAGCACAGUGGUGGAUAAUCAUCCCCCAUAUGCUUUAUACCUUUUUAUUUAAUAUAUGAUAUUAAAUUGAGAGAUAAACAACCUUUUAUUGGAUAUAGGGAAAGAUUUCAACGAAUAUUUGGUAAUCGGGAGAUAUAUGGUGGUAUUGAAAUUGAUUGACGGAUACUACUAUUUUGAGGUUGAUCAAGCAUAUUUAGACCGUUCAUAUGAAAACGUGCAUCGACUAUUUGAAUUUGAUCAUCCACACGACAAUCCACCGUGAAGAUUUUUUUCUUUCAACCGUGUGAAUCUUAAAAGUUUUAGGUUUAAAGACUAAAUCCACGAAACUGGGUAUUCAAUUAAUCUAUCAGUAUGACAACCAAAUGGUUGAGGUGUAUGGAAUUCAGGACACAAGUUCCAGCUGGAGUUCUAUUACCAAUAGACCAAGACAACUUGACAAGUGAGAAGAGAAAAUAAUUAACAUAACCACAAAAUUUUAGAACGUAUAUCGUUCAGUUCUAUACACGAAGUUACGAAAGCGUAUAAGAUGAUGGUGGUACACAAAAUUAUCUGUUAAAUAAGAGUUAAAGACGAUAAUGUCUAAAAUGGAAGAAACUAAAACCACGGUUUGGCGAAGGUUAACUAUACACGUAUUUCAAUAAUUAAGUUAAAAAUGCCAUUAAGCCAAGUUUCUGUAUUUUUUAAAGUGUUAGUAGCACGUAGUAGUAAAUGAUUUAUUUUAGACCACCUCCAUCGGCGCUUCUUAAAUGGAGGUUCCAAACAAAAGAGAAAAAAAAUAAAUGAAAAAGGAAAAUAAAACACAGAACCGGUGUUUAAACUGGGAUUUUUAGGAUUGUUAGGAACCCUAACGUGUCACAUUCUUAUUUGACGGCUCAUUUAUGUCUCUCUCUCUCCUUCGAAAUCCCAUUUUUUCUAUUCCUCCUCCAAGCUCGAUCUCUCCAUCUUCUAUGUCGAUUCCAAUAAGCUCUACUUUAUUUCAACAGUGAAAGAUUGGUAACUCUUCAAGCUAAUAAAAUAUUUCAUUAUCCUCUCCGUCGAAUCUAAUGACCAUGGAAACUCUCUCAACAUCAUCACACCUCUCUAAUUUGCCCCAGUCUUCGUGUUGGUCCUGUAAUCCGUGAAUCCACAAUCUGAGAAUCAGCAACGGAUCAAGCCACGGAGGGCUUCGUAUGCAAGCUCUCUUACACAACGACACGCCAAGUGAAGGUAAAUCUUUUGGAUUCUCAUGGAAAGUUCAAUUUUUUUUUUUGUUGUGGGUGGGAUUAUUUGUAUUGGGGGUACCCUUAAAGAUGCUUACUUUGUUAUUGAUACGAAUCUUAGAUUGGUGUACAGAUUAAUUUGAAGUAGAUCAUUUCCAGUGGCAUAUAGCUUCUUCUUAUUGUUGCUGUGAAGGAAAAAGAUUGAGACUUGUUCUCAUAGUAGUGUAAUCGAUGUGCAGACAUGAGGUUGUAGGCUUUACAACCAGAUAAGAUCGCUGUUGAUGGUGGUGAGCAGAACGUCAAGGUACUUUAUCUCAAAUCCCUCUCACUUGCUUUAGAUUCUCCAAACAUUCUUGUCCUUUGGUAAAUUGAAGUAGGUUCUUACUUGAUGGGAACUCUUUGACAUGUUCGAUAAUGUGAAGAACACUCUCUUUAGGAUGCUUGAUGGAAACUCCUCGAGGGAGAUGAUGUGAUGAAUGUGCAGAUAUGCUACAAGAAGAGGACUUCAAUCAUCAAAGUGUUUUUGACUCGCAUGGUUACCACAAUGGCGGAUGAAAGAGACGAGUCUCAGAGCAUUGAGCCCACGGGUAACAAUGAUCUUGUGGUAAGUAGUAUGUAGAGAGAACAACAAUAUGAUAUGUAAUAAGUGAAAGUAAUCAUUAAAACCUUAUGCUAGUUGAUGUAUGACUUGUUUUGAUCAAAUGGAAUCAGUUUGUUAAAAAAAUUUUAAGAACCUCAAAGAGAGGUUCUCCCAUUGGACCAUGAAAAAAUUAAUAACACUAACAAGGGUUCUAAACUUCUCAAAUCACAAAAUCAACUAUUAAAUUAUUCAUUAGAACCCAUUAUGGGUUCUAACCAAUGGACUUGCUCUUACAGUUUUAAAAUUCGGAAGUCUCUGAAUUGACGUGCUACGGUGUGAAAUGAAAGACUAAUGUUAACAAAAUGUGCAAGUAAUUCAUCAACUUAAUUAUGUUUUUCAUCGAUAUAAAAAUUAAAACAUAUAUCACUAGCACCAUUAUAUUCUUCCAUUCGAUUUAAUUAGGUCUGUAUAUAGAAUUGGUUUUUUUGAUAUAUUCUAUCGAUUGAUUGAUAGGGACGGUCUCGAAAAAAAACACACUUGGUGUUACCAAAUGGAUUGGGAUGAUAUUGUCUGAUUAAAUGCAUUACUAUUAGUGUUAGGAGAUAGACCAAUCAUAUGUUUUUUUUUUUAAUGAAAUUAUAUUAAUCAAACCGAAUAAUCGGCAAUCAGAUACGGUUACAAGCUCGUUUUGAACAAAAGCAUCAAAGUCUAACUAUUACAAGUCUUUGAUAUCGGUUACCGUUCUCAAUCAUAUGUUAUAACCAUUAUAUUAACCAUUUGGACUGAAAUUUAAAUCCAGAUUGACCAAACAACAAUAUUUUAGUUUAUACAAAGAAUUCUCGAAUUCAUAACUGAUGGAAGUACACACUAAUUACAAAUAAGCUGUCACCACUUGGCUGUAUACAGAAUUAUUAUAUCAUGUGUUUGAACAGUGUAUUGAAAUGGGUAAGCAUUUCCGACGAAAAAGAACACACCAUAACGGGUUGGUCUAGUAACCCCAAUGAUACGUGUAGGCAGCCAAUCCAAAUACAAGUCAGUCGACAAAGUAACCUUAAAAGCAAGAGAAAUAAAGUAUUAUUCGGCUAAAUUUGACUCCAUGGGCAACAUACAAUUCAGAGUUGUAAGGGUUUCAAAAGGAAGAAAUGUUUAUAAUCAACCUGUAUAAAACGUUACCUUUCUUGUUAUGGUUAUCUGGAUGUAUUUAAAGGGAAAUAAUCGUGAGAAUGUUUGAAAAAAAAAGUUUGGUUGUGGUAGCGGUUUACAGUACGAUGUGCAUUGUUGUUUGGGCAUUGGCUGGCGCAUGUGUCUGAAACAGUGAAAGAUUUGGUGCCAAGAUUCUUAUGGAAUAACUUUAUUGGACAAAAAAGUACUCUUGGAACAUCAAAUGAAAUAUAUACCUCCCACAAUUAUGCAAAAUUUAAGUUGUAUAAGGCUUUAGCUAUUGAAACAUAAAUGUUUUUGCGUUACAACUUUUCUCUCUCCUGCGAUUUUUCUCUCAGGCCCGUGUUUCGAGACAGUUUCUGUAGACCGUUUUGAGAUACCCACUGUUUCCAAUUUCCCGGUUUGUUUCCCCUUUUGGUUACUAAAGUUGACCUCCAUCUUCUGUCUACUACCAUCUACCUGGUUUUCACUCCAGUUUUAGCAAGUUUUCAAAUUUAUAAAACCACUCUCCCUCCACCACCGUCCUCCUCUGGUUGCUUCCCGCCGGGUUCAGCCCCCGACGGCGUCGGAGGGCCCGCUGCUCUCUCCCUCCUGCAUUCCUUCAACAACUAAGCUCGGAUAUGUCUCCCACUAGCUCAUCCCUCUGCGGAGUCACAGCUUACUCGGGAACAUCAGUACUGAGCUUAUUGAGGGUCUCUUUGACUACUUCCUCUCGGUAGCGGUCGAGGUCUGUUUCAGAAUACUAGUUUAUCUAGCUUUGCCCAGUUUGGGAGUUUCAUUACACUUACUCGAAGAUUGAGGCUCAGGACGCUUGCUCCCCUGUCUCAGCCUACUAGCAGCUCGUCCUCCUGUCUCAGUGUACUUUCCGCAUUGCCUUGCCCAAUUUGGGACCCCUCUCUUUGUUUGUUGAUUGCUUAUAGCUGCAGUCUACAACAAAUUCUGUGCUUCCACAAUGGCUCGUCGCUACUCUGCCUCAGAAAAGGCAAAGUGGGUCUCUGAACCAGCUGCUCCUGCUCGCCGAGCGCCCAUCCAAAUCCCGAUGACUGAUAACUCCGCUCUCAUUGAGCAGAAUAAGCUCACUCUUAUAGGCCGAGUCACAAACCCCGCAGCUCAAAACACUCGAGCCCUUGUGGACUUUUUCUUACAACACUGGCAUGUCUCAGGUUCCAUAACUGGAAGAGACCUCGGACCCCACUUGUUCCAGUUCAGCUUUGAGUCUGAAAGAGACCUUCAGAGCAUCUUGUGUAAAGCCCCAUACCACUUCAAGCGUUGGAUGAUCUUGCUCCAACGAUGGGAACCCACUGUUUCGGAAAGCUUCCCAUCUAUCAUUCCGUUUUGGAUUCGAAUCCACGGCCUCCCUCUCCAUUACUGGACAGAGGAAGCUCUCCAGGCCAUAGGCUCAGAACUCGGGCACGUAGACUCAAAGGAUGUCACAAAGGGAAGAAUACGAGUUCUUAUUAAUGGUCUCCGUCCUCUGGAUAGACUCCUUGAAGUUAGCCUGCCAUCGGGAGAUAUAAAAGAAGUUGAGCUUGAAUAUGAGAAGCUCGAAAAGCAUUGUUUCUCUUGUCGGUCUCUAUCCCACGAGCAAGAUGACUGCUCUUCUAAGCCCUCCACGGGCCAGGGUCCAAUAGGCAUCAACCAAUCACGGACUCUAGAGAAGCUAGCAGAACGCAGAAGAAGAACCGAUGCAAGAACUGGGAGGCAUCAUAGUAGUCCUAACAGGAGCUUAGUGCCCUCCUAUGGGGGCCGUUCGUAUCAGGGGACUGGAGAACCCCAUCUCAGACACUCCAAUCACUCUUAUGAUAGGGGACACAGAACUGAGAAAAGAUACGAGACGUCGAAUCGCAGACUCCCCUCACCACCAAAGAGGUCUCCUCUUAGGCGACAUGAAACGACUCGAAAAGAAGUUUGGGUUCCACGCAAGGAAAAUCCUCUAGGAGUCAUAGUGGGAACUGACCCUCGAGGCUCAGGGCGCCUAUCUAUCAGAACCUCUAGACAAGUUCUGUCUCCCCAAACCUCCCACACUCCAUCCCCUCGUCCUCACAGGGAACCUAUGCUCCCUCUUGCUGGUGCUAAUUCUGAUCAUUCAAACUCCAACUCCAGGGUCCGACGCCCAGCUUUGGAAAGAAUAUCACCUGCUGCGAGUUUGAAUGCAUCCUCGGAAAGGAGACCGGCUUUAGAACGGCUCUCUCUGCCCUCCAAUAGGGACUCUCUGCCUUGUAAUGAGGAUGGUACUACUGGCUCUGGUUUCCUACAGGAUGUGGACGAUCAAUACUUUGAAGAAACAAUGGGAGAUUUGCCUUUUGAUAAAGCUGGAGCCUCAGGCUCUAAGCCCUCACAGGCAGCAUCUUCGCCUAUUCGCACCCUGAGUGAAGAUAGGAUCCACGUCUCUAUGAGACUAGGCCCGACAGCACCAGAGCCAGACAUUGUUGUUAACCUACCUCUGGGCCCUCCUCUCAAAAGAUCUGGCCGCUUAGCUGCAAAAAUAUUAGGCAAACGAAAGCUAACCCCUCAACCAGUAAAGAAGAAGAUCAUCAGAAGCCCCGGUCAGGGAGUAAGCAUAAAGAAGAGGAGGAUCACCAAGGCCACAAAUGGAUCACCCAAAAGAUCGCCUAGGAGAAAGCUGGUGAUGACAACAGAGGGUGCAAAGGAAUCGAAAGCCGGCGCGUCCACUAGCAGAGCUGCUCCACCGACGAAGGUCUUUCCCUCAAGUAGACGCAAGGUGCCGGAUUUUCGGUCACCUCGAGAUCCGCUUCCUUAGCGUGUCUGAGCUGGAACUGUCAAGGGAUUGGAAGCACUCUGACAGUCCAGCGGCUUAAGGAGAUACGGUCUCGUCUAUCUCCUGAUAUCUUGUUUCUAAUGGAGACUAAAAACAGUGAUGAAAAAGUUCUCCGUCAUUUUCAAAAUUCUCUGUAUAAGAACCAUUUCUCAGUUCCUCCCACUGGUUUAAGUGGAGGCCUGAUGUUAUCUUGGAAGGAUGAUAUAAAAGUGGAUGUUCUCUAUUCUUCUUGCAACAUCAUUGAUACACACAUCCAUGCUAAGAAGUCUUCAUUCUUUACAUCCUUCAUCUAUGGUGCCCCUAGGAAAGAAGAUCGCCCCGCCUUUUGGAGCAAACUAGUCGAUCUUGGAAAAUCCAGAGAUGCGGCUUGGUUUAUUACGGGCGACUUCAACGACUUGCUUGAUAACUCCGAGAAAGUUGGUGGUCCUCUCAGGUGGGAGGGAUCUUUCCUCUCUUUCCGUAGUUUUGUGUCUCAGUCGGGGUUAUGGGAUCUUCCCCAUGCUGGUAAUCAUCUCUCCUGGAGAGGAAUGAGACACGAUCACUUUGUUCAAUCCCGUCUUGAUCGAGCAAUGGCGAACUGUGCGUGGUCGGAAUGUUUUCCUUCUGGCCGUAGCAUCUACCUCCGCUUUGAGGGAUCAGACCAUCGCCCCCUUCUUACUCUCUUUGAUCAGACUAAAGCCCACAAGAAAGGAUCCUUCCGCUUCGAUAGGAGACUGCGGAAAAACCCGGACAUUCUCAAGCUUGUGGAAGAACAUUGGCCUCUCCCAAGACCGGAAGCUGUCAUCUCAAAGACAGACAGAGUAAGGAGGAAGAUCGUUGAAUGGUCAAAAGAACAGAAUGUUAAGAGCUGUGAGGUGAUAAGGGAGGCACAGCAGAUUCUCGAAGAAGCUCUAUCGGCCACUACACCUGAUACAGAACUAAUCCAUGCCAUCUCUUCCAAGCUUGAGAAAGCUUACCUUGAUGAAGAGGA
RNAcentral lists this long non-coding RNA (13677 nucleotides) under Brassica rapa (field mustard). RNAcentral describes it as "long non-coding RNA (BRAP_LNC003120)". Lineage: Eukaryota; Viridiplantae; Streptophyta; Magnoliopsida; Brassicales; Brassicaceae. The record is from RNAcentral.